CGAAAGUGCUGCUAAUACCUGAUGAUACCUCCGCGUCGCUUGGCGUGGAGAUCAAAGGUGGGGACCGCAAGGCCUACCGGUCUGGGAGCGGCCCAUGUCCUAUCAGCUUGUUGGUGAGGUAACGGCUCACCAAGGCGCCGACGGGUAGCGGGACUGAGAGGUUGGCCCGCCACAUCGGGACUGAGACACUGCCCGGACACCUACGGGUGGCUGCAGUAACGAAUAUUGGGCAAUGGGCGCAAGCCUGACCCAGCAAUGCCGCGUGCAGGAGGAAGCCCUUCGGGGUGUAAACUGCUGUCAGGGGUUCGCAAGCAAUGGACGUUAAUAGCGUCCGGCGUUGAGCAGCCCCAGAGGAAGCCUCGACUAACUCUGUGCCAGCAGUCGCGGUAAUACAGAGGAGGCAAGCGUUGUUCGGAAUCACUGGGCUUAAAGAGGGUGUAGGCGGCUUGGCAAGUGUCCUGUGAAAGCCCACGGCUCAACCGUGGAAUUGCAGGGCAAACUGCCUGGCUUGAGUUCGGUAGAGGUGCCUGGAGCUCUCGGUGGAGCGGUGAAAUGCGUAGAUAUCGAGAGGAAUGCCGGAGGCGAAAGCGGGGCACUGGGCCGACACUGACGCUGAGACCCGAAAGCGUGGGGAGCAAACCGGAUUAGAUACCCUGGUAGUCCACGCCGUUAACGAUGCACACUAGACGUCGGAAGUUCUGACACCAUCGGCGUCGCAGCAAAAGUACCUAAGUGUGCCGGCUGGGGAGUACG
This 753-nucleotide ribosomal RNA is filed under the name uncultured organism. RNAcentral describes it as "bacterial SSU rRNA". It matches the Rfam family "Bacterial small subunit ribosomal RNA", at positions 152 to 884 of the family's 1533-position model. The record is from RNAcentral.